CCCUUAGAUGUUCUGGGCCGCACGCGCGCUACACUGAUGCAUUCAACGAGUUUCUUCCUGGUCCGAGAGGAAUGGGUAACCUUUUGAAAGUGCAUCGUGAUAGGGAUAGACUAUUGCAAUUAUUGGUCUUCAACGAGGAAUUCCUAGUAGACGUAGUUCAUCAGACUGCAUCGAUUACGUCCCUGCCCUUUGUACACACCGCCCGUCGCUCCUACCGAUUGAAUGCUCAGGUGAGCCAUUCGGACUUUCAUCAUGCUGGUUUCCAGUUUUGAUGAAGGAAAGUCUUGCGAACCUUAUCAUUUAGAGGAAGGAGUAGUCGUAACA
This 324-nucleotide ribosomal RNA is filed under the name uncultured eukaryote. Its description in RNAcentral is "partial 18S ribosomal RNA". It matches the Rfam family "Eukaryotic small subunit ribosomal RNA", at positions 1470 to 1796 of the family's 1831-position model. The record is from RNAcentral.